This is a long non-coding RNA of Bufo bufo (common toad), 142 nucleotides long. RefSeq lists it as uncharacterized. The transcript is spliced from 3 exons. The record is from RefSeq and is a predicted model, not a curated record. Lineage: Eukaryota; Metazoa; Chordata; Amphibia; Anura; Bufonidae.
AGGGCAGUCAGCUCCCUGAGCUGGUCACCAACAAUUUGCUCAAGUAAGGCCGGACUAUAGGUUUACCAUAAGGGUAGGCCUUCAUGACGAAUUUGGUGCCAGGGGCCUGGUAGAGGUAGGGUUAAUGUGAGGCGGGAAGCGG